CAAGGCUCCAAGUCCGUGGGGGAAUCCUUUGCAUACUUGCCAAGGAAAUCCCUAUAGGCAUAGCCAGCAGCAGGGGGCGCCCUGUUGGCUUGUGUCCAGCUGGUGGCCUCUUUCCAAUAUAUAUUUGGCCUAGGAAUUCUUAGAUGUUCCAGAAAAAUUCUCCGUGAAGUUUCAGGUCAUUUGGAGCAACUUAAUUUUUCUAACUUUUUCUCGGUUUCCCGGUCGAAAAUUCAAGUUACCCGAUAUUUCCCUCUUAGUGAUGUACCUUGCAUAUUCAGAAAGAAAGAGCAUAAGAAUUGUAUGAUAAUGAGGCAUAAUGGACAGGAUCAA
This 330-nucleotide long non-coding RNA is filed under the name Hordeum vulgare. Its description in RNAcentral is "long non-coding RNA (HVUL_LNC008741)". Lineage: Eukaryota; Viridiplantae; Streptophyta; Magnoliopsida; Poales; Poaceae. The record is from RNAcentral.